CCCUUAGAUGUUCUGGGCCGCACGCGCGCUACACUGAUACGUUCAACGAGUUUAUAACCUUGAUUGAUAGGUCUGGGUAAUCUUUUGAAUGCGUAUCGUGCUAGGGAUAGAUUAUUGCAAUUAUUAAUCUUGAACGAGGAAUUCCUAGUAAACGCAAGUCAUCAGCUUGCAUUGAUUACGUCCCUGCCCUUUGUACACACCGCCCGUCGCACCUACCGAUUGAAUGACUCGGUGAAAAAUCGGGACUGUGGUCUAGCUUGCUUAAUUGCAAACUUGACUGUGGGAACUUUCUUUAACCUAUUCAUUGAGAGGAAGGUGAAGUCGUAACA
This 329-nucleotide ribosomal RNA is filed under the name uncultured eukaryote. RNAcentral describes it as "partial 18S ribosomal RNA". It matches the Rfam family "Eukaryotic small subunit ribosomal RNA", at positions 1470 to 1796 of the family's 1831-position model. The record is from RNAcentral.